CGUUCUGUUGCCGAAUUGGUAAAGGCAUCGCCGAUCACAGGCGAGGGUGCGGGUUCGAGUCCCGCUGGAAGGA
This 73-nucleotide transfer RNA is filed under the name Operophtera brumata (winter moth). It matches the Rfam family "tRNA". From Rfam's summary of the family: Transfer RNA (tRNA) molecules are approximately 80 nucleotides in length. The record is from Rfam by way of RNAcentral. Lineage: Eukaryota; Metazoa; Arthropoda; Insecta; Lepidoptera; Geometridae.